This 390-nucleotide ribosomal RNA is filed under the name Staphylococcus sp. HMSC068G12. Its description in RNAcentral is "bacterial LSU rRNA". It matches the Rfam family "Bacterial large subunit ribosomal RNA", at positions 1891 to 2280 of the family's 2925-position model. Lineage: Bacteria; Bacillati; Bacillota; Bacilli; Caryophanales; Staphylococcaceae. The record is from RNAcentral.
UAGCUUCUGCGAAGCUACGAAUCGAAGCCCCAGUAAACGGCGGCCGUAACUAUAACGGUCCUAAGGUAGCGAAAUUCCUUGUCGGGUAAGUUCCGACCCGCACGAAAGGCGUAACGAUUUGGGCACUGUCUCAACGAGAGACUCGGUGAAAUCAUAGUACCUGUGAAGAUGCAGGUUACCCGCGACAGGACGGAAAGACCCCGUGGAGCUUUACUGUAGCCUGAUAUUGAAAUUCGGCACAGCUUGUACAGGAUAGGUAGGAGCCUUUGAAACGUGAGCGCUAGCUUACGUGGAGGCGUUGGUGGGAUACUACCCUAGCUGUGUUGGCUUUCUAACCCGCACCACUUAUCGUGGUGGGAGACAGUGUCAGGCGGGCAGUUUGACUGGGGC